This 391-nucleotide ribosomal RNA is filed under the name uncultured bacterium. RNAcentral's name for it is "bacterial SSU rRNA". It matches the Rfam family "Bacterial small subunit ribosomal RNA", at positions 505 to 898 of the family's 1533-position model. The record is from RNAcentral.
GUGUCAGCAGCCGCGGUAAUACGGAGGAUCCAAGCGUUAUCCGGAUUUAUUGGGUUUAAAGGGUGCGUAGGCGGCGUGCUAAGUCAGGGGUGAAAGACGACAGCUUAACUGUCGCAGUGCCUUUGAUACUGGCAUGCUUGAAUGUACAUGAGGUAGGCGGAAUGAGACAAGUAGCGGUGAAAUGCAUAGAUAUGUCUCAGAACACCGAUUGCGAAGGCAGCUUACUAAAGUAUUAUUGACGCUAAUGCACGAAAGCGUGGGGAUCAAACAGGAUUAGAUACCCUGGUAGUCCACGCCCUAAACGAUGAUAACUCGAUGUCGGCGAUAUACUGUCGGUGUCCAAGCGAAAGCAUUAAGUUAUCCACCUGGGGAGUACGCCCGCAAGGGUGAA